AUACGGAGGGUGCGAGCGUUAAUCGGAAUUACUGGGCGUAAAGGGUGCGUAGGCGGCUUGAUAAGUCGGAUGUGAAAGCCCCGGGCUUAACCUGGGAAUUGCAUUCGAUACUGUCAGGCUAGAGUAUGUCAGAGGUUGGCGGAAUUCCUGGUGUAGCGGUGAAAUGCGUAGAUAUCAGGAGGAACACCAGUGGCGAGGGCGGCUAACUGGGACAAUACUGACGCUGAGGCACGAAAGCGUGGGGAGCAAACAGGAUUAGAUACCCUAGUAGUCC
RNAcentral lists this ribosomal RNA (274 nucleotides) under uncultured bacterium. RNAcentral's name for it is "partial 16S ribosomal RNA". It matches the Rfam family "Bacterial small subunit ribosomal RNA", at positions 523 to 796 of the family's 1533-position model. The record is from RNAcentral.